GCCGCAUCUGCCCUGAAGUCUUUGUAUUGUCUUUUCAAGUAACCACCAACUUCAAAGGGUGGGCCGUGCCGCAGUGGUAACAAAACCACAUCUCUAUUCUCCUUCUUCUUCUCCUUCUCCUUCUCCGGUAGUUCUCCCUAUCCCGACGUGCCAGUUCUCAUCUCAGGUGAACACUGAAAAUUACUUGAAAUUAAACACGUUAUCAGCGAUGGUUUGUUGUUGUAGGGUUCAAAAAUUUCUUGAGAAAACCAGGUUCUGUGUUGGAGUUUGGGGGCUUUCCUGCUUCUCUAGAAGAGACUUUGGUUUUGAAGGUAUGAUACUAAUGACAGUGGUUCUUUAUGCUUUGGUUACUUAUUGGUGGAGCAGAAAGUGGGGGAAAUGUCUGCCCCAUAAAGGAGGGAUAUGAAAAGGCCAGUUAGAUAUUCUACACAUUAGAUAUUCACAGCAUGCUGUUCCAAAUUUUCUGUAGAUUGGGUAUUACUAAAUAUCAUGACUGAGGUGUUAAAGGAGCCUAUCUAUGAUGCAUCUGUUUGUUGUUUCCACUGGUGGAGGGGCUGUUAUAAGGCCCAUCAAUUGGUAUUUGUUUCGGAUGUUCCAUAACAAAACUGUCAUUGAAGGUUGUCUUUUCUGUUUACACGAAGUUUGGUGUUAAUAUUUAUUAUAUGUUUUAUUACUACCAGGAAACAUAUACGAAGUGGUAUUAGGUUUUGGUUAGAUGUACCAGUGGAGUGGUAUUAGUACAAACUGAGCAUCAUCCUUCAAGGAGGGAAUUUUAUUUUAAUAUGAGCAUGAUUUUCUCCUUGUCCAAAUAUUCUUGCUACUCUAUAACAACCUGUUUUGCAGUGGCCUUAUAUGAUUCGUUCUAACUUCUAUACUGUUUUCUUUGCAGAUGUCACGUCGGAACAUAGAUAAUCUUAGUCCAACUGAUAUUGCAAUUGAUCGAGGUGCUUGUACAAAUUGAAAGCUUCCUUGAAGGAUGAUGCUUCGCCAUAUAAAAUCUGCGUAUAACGCACAAAAUAUCACAAAUUGGACGUUGUUGGAUUUCUAGCUAAGCACUAAGCAGGCACCUGUGUAGUUCUCUUUGUCUACUGCGAUAUAAAGAAGUGAUGCACGAUACCGUGUAAAAAGAACAGGGGUUUCCAUCAUUGGUGGUUUUUGAAGAAGCCACCAAUGUUGGUAGUUUUUUUUUUAGAGGUGGUUCUUUUUUGACGGGUAGAGGAGGUUCUUGAGUGUAUUUUGUUGAGAUACAUUUGAGAGUUAGUUGGAGAGCUCUCACUAAUAUAUAUGAUUUAAGAUAAAGAUAGUCAACACCAAUUUUUGCCCGAACAACAAAGGGAAUUACAUUGUGAUUUGUGAAUAGUAUUAUGUGUAUUGCCAUGUAAGAUUGUACAAGCUCAUUAGUUAUUGAAUAUUGAGUGUAAGUUGCUGAAUCUAUACUACAAAAAAAAUUGGUCGAGAAUUCUACAAAACACUUUGGUCGAUGCGUGUUCUUUCUAAGUGGAAACUUUUCCUUUGGAAGCUUCUUCAUAACGGCAUUGCGACUAAGUCAAAUCUUGGGAGACGGGGGUUGCAAAUUCCAACUACUUGUGAUUUAUGUGAAAGCGGGGAGGACGAUAUGCAACAUAUUUUUAGAUUAUGUGUGAUCUUUCACAACAAGUGUGGAGGGGUGGAGCACUACAAAUCCACUCAAAAGACAAUGAAGAGUUUUCAGGAAUGAAGCAACAACGUUGUCUGUAGUUCAAGCUCGAAUUGAUCAGGCUCAACAACAACAUUACACUAUGAAACAACAUGUUCAACCAUUCUUGAGGUUUCUUCACCCUCCAAAGACCGAAGUUCCUUAUCCUCUGGGUUUCCAUAGGGUUAUCAUCAAGGGUAAUGAAUUACUAGGAGAUAUUACAAACAUUGUGGUAGAUGGAGCUUGGCACAAGGAUACUAGAAAUGCAGGUAUGUGUUGGUACUUAGACGAACAACCAACGAGAACGACAAUCCUGGGAGGUGCACAAACUGGAUCAGCUGCUUCUGCUUUACAAAUAAAAGCAAAUGCAUGCCUUUUGGGUCUUCAAUGGGCUUCGCAAGGUGAGUACCACAGAGUUACGAUCCUCACAUAUUCAAAGAGACUUAUUGACUUGCUUCAACAAGUAGAUGUCUUAGAUAUGCAACUAAAAUGGACGCUUGAGAAGACCAAAAUGAUUGGCAUGACAUUUGAUUGGUGCUGCAUCAAUAAUGUUAAUCAUGAAAGAGUUCACCAAGCACAUAUCCUUGCAAAAGCGGCUUCGACUUUUAUUAUGUCUUUUAAUAAUUUUCCUUAGUUUGUUUCUUUAAGCUUAUAUAUAAAAAGAAAAGACAAGAAAAUUUGCAUGCA
Spinacia oleracea (spinach) is the source of this 2362-nucleotide long non-coding RNA. RefSeq lists it as uncharacterized. The transcript has 8 exons. The record is from RefSeq and is a predicted model, not a curated record. Lineage: Eukaryota; Viridiplantae; Streptophyta; Magnoliopsida; Caryophyllales; Amaranthaceae.